This 265-nucleotide ribosomal RNA is filed under the name uncultured bacterium. RNAcentral describes it as "partial 16S ribosomal RNA". It matches the Rfam family "Bacterial small subunit ribosomal RNA", at positions 88 to 354 of the family's 1533-position model. The record is from RNAcentral.
CCGGCGACCGGCGGACGGGUGCGUAACGCGUAUGUAACCUACCUUUGACAGGGGGAUAACAUCGAGAAAUUGGUACUAAUACCCCAUAACAUCACCGGAGGCAUCUUCGGUGGUUGAAAACUCAGGUGGUCAGAGAUGGACAUGCGUUGUAUUAGCUAGUUGGUGAGGUAACGGCUCACCAAGGCGACGAUACAUAGGGGGACUGAGAGGCCAACCCCCCACAUUGGUACUGAGACACGGACCAAACUCCUACGGGAGGCAGCAG